RNAcentral lists this ribosomal RNA (404 nucleotides) under uncultured bacterium. RNAcentral's name for it is "bacterial SSU rRNA". It matches the Rfam family "Bacterial small subunit ribosomal RNA", at positions 355 to 776 of the family's 1533-position model. The record is from RNAcentral.
UAGGGAAUAUUGCACAAUGGAGGAAACUCUGAUGCAGCAACGCCACGUGUGGGAUGACGCAUUUAGGUGUGUAAACCACUGUCAGAUGGGAAUAUAAUGAAUGUACCAUCAAAGGAAGCACCGGCUAACUUCGUGCCAGCAGCCGCGGUAAUACGAGGGGUGCAAGCGUUGUUCGGAAUCACUGGGCGUAAAGGGUCCGUAGGCGGAUAUACAAGUCAGAUGUUUAAUUUCGAGGCCUAACUUCGAGUUUGCAUUUGAAACUGUAUGUCUUGAAUAGAUCAGAGGUUGAUGGAAUACCUGGUGUAGCGGUGGAAUGCGUAGAUAUCAGGUAGAACACCAAUGGCGAAGGCAGUCAACUGGGAUCAUAUUGACGCUGAGGGACGAAAGCGUGGGUAGCAAACAGG